AUGAACGCUGGCGGCGUGCCUAAUACAUGCAAGUCGAGCGAACAGAUGAGGAGCUUGCUCCUCUGACGUUAGCGGCGGACGGGGGAGUAACACGUGGAUAACCUACCUAUAAGACUGGGAUAACUUCGGGAAACCGGAGCUAAUACCGGAUAAUAUAUUGAACCGCAUGGUUCAAUAGUGAAAGACGGUUUUGCUGUCACUUAUAGAUGGAUCCGCGCCGCAUUAGCUAGUUGGUAAGGUAACGGCUUACCAAGGCAACGAUGCGUAGCCGACCUGAGAGGGUGAUCGGCCACACUGGAACUGAGACACGGUCCAGACUCCUACGGGAGGCAGCAGUAGGGAAUCUUCCGCAAUGGGCGAAAGCCUGACGGAGCAACGCCGCGUGAGUGAUGAAGGUCUUCGGAUCGUAAAACUCUGUUAUUAGGGAAGAACAAAUGUGUAAGUAACUAUGCACGUCUUGACGGUACCUAAUCAGAAAGCCACGGCUAACUACGUG
Molecule: ribosomal RNA, 496 nt
Filed under: uncultured bacterium
Lineage: Bacteria
Description: partial 16S ribosomal RNA
Rfam family: Bacterial small subunit ribosomal RNA
Source: RNAcentral